GACGAACGCUGGCGGCGUGCCUAAUACAUGCAAGUAGAACGCUGAAGAGAGGAGCUUACUCUUCUUGGAUGAGUUGCGAACGGGUGAGUAACGCGUAGGUAACCUGCCUUGUAGCGGGGGAUAACUAUUGGAAACGAUAGCUAAUACCGCAUAACACUGGAUGACACAUGUCAUUUAUUUGAAAGGGGCAAUUGCUCCACUACAAGAUGGACCUGCGUUGUAUUAGCUAGUAGGUGAGGUAAUGGCUCACCUAGGCGACGAUACAUAGCCGACCUGAGAGGUUGAUCGGCCACACUGGGACUGAGACACGGCCCAGACUCCUACGGGAGGCAGCAGUAGGGAAGCUUCGGCAAUGGGGGCAACCCUGACCGAGCAACGCCGCGUGAGUGAAGAAGGUUUUCGGAUCGUAAAGCUCUGUUGUAAGUCAAGAACGGGUGUGAGAGUGGAAAGUUCACACUGUGACGGUAGCUUACCAGAAAGGGACGGCUAACUACGUG
This 497-nucleotide ribosomal RNA is filed under the name uncultured bacterium. RNAcentral describes it as "partial 16S ribosomal RNA". It matches the Rfam family "Bacterial small subunit ribosomal RNA", at positions 28 to 507 of the family's 1533-position model. The record is from RNAcentral.